Molecule: ribosomal RNA, 424 nt
Filed under: Verrucomicrobiota bacterium
Lineage: Bacteria; Pseudomonadati; Verrucomicrobiota
Description: Verrucomicrobia bacterium partial 16S ribosomal RNA
Rfam family: Bacterial small subunit ribosomal RNA
Source: RNAcentral
UGAGGAAUAUUGGUCAAUGGGCGAGAGCCUGAACCAGCCAAGUAGCGUGCAGGAUGACGGCCCUAUGGGUUGUAAACUGCUUUUAUAUGGGAAUAAAGUGAGGGACGUGUCCCUUAUUGCAUGUACCAUACGAAUAAGGACCGGCUAAUUCCGUGCCAGCAGCCGCGGUAAUACGGAAGGUCCAGGCGUUAUCCGGAUUUAUUGGGUUUAAAGGGAGCGUAGGCUGUUUGUUAAGCGUGUUGUGAAAUGUAAGAGCUCAACUUUUAGAUUGCAGCGCGAACUGGCAGACUUGAGUGCGCACAACGUAGGCGGAAUUCAUGGUGUAGCGAUGAAAUGCUUAGAUAUCAUGACGAGCUCCGAUUGCGAAGGCAGCUUACGGGAGCGCAACUGACGCUAAAGCUCGAAGGUGCGGGUAUCGAACAGG